GAUGAACGCUGGCGGCGUGCCUAAUACAUGCAAGUCGAGCGAACGGACGAGAAGCUUGCUUCUCUGAUGUUAGCGGCGGACGGGUGAGUAACACGUGGAUAACCUACCUAUAAGACUGGGAUAACUUCGGGAAACCGGAGCUAAUACCGGAUAAUAUUUUGAACCGCAUGGUUCAAAAGUGAAAGACGGUCUUGCUGUCACUUAUAGAUGGAUCCGCGCUGCAUUAGCUAGUUGGUAAGGUAACGGCUUACCAAGGCAACGAUGCAUAGCCGACCUGAGAGGGUGGUCGGCCACACGAGAACUGGAACACGGUCCAGGCGCCUACGGGAGGGAGCAGAAGCGAAUGGGCCGCAAUGGGCGAAAGCCUGGCGGAGCAACGCCGAGUGAGUGAUGAAGGUCUUCGGAUCGUAAAACUCUGUUAUUAGGGAAGAACAUAUGUGUAAGUAACUGUGCACAGCGUGACGGUACCUAAUCAGAAAGCCACGGCUAACUACGUG
This 497-nucleotide ribosomal RNA is filed under the name uncultured bacterium. Its description in RNAcentral is "partial 16S ribosomal RNA". It matches the Rfam family "Bacterial small subunit ribosomal RNA", at positions 28 to 507 of the family's 1533-position model. The record is from RNAcentral.